AGUUCCAAUACCGUAUAUUAAAGUGGUUGCAGUUAAAAAGCUCGUAGUUGGAUUUGUGGUUGGCGUAAGGCUUCCGCCCAUUUUGGGUUUGGGUGUUGCCUGAAGUUGCCAUCCUUGGCUGGAAUCUGUGUGGUAUUAGGUUGUCUUGCAGGGGAUGCCCAUCGUUUACUGUGAAAAAAUUAGAGUGUUCAAAGCAGGAUUAUGCUGUUGAAUAUGUUAGCAUGGAAUAAUAAGAUAGGACCUUGGUACUAUUUUGUUGGUUUGCGCACCGAGGUAAUGAUUAAUAGGGACAGUUGGAGGUAUUCAUAUUCCAUUGUCAUAGGUGAAAUUCUUGGAUAUUUGGAAGACAAACUACUGCGAAAGCAUUUACCAAGGAUGUUUUCA
Molecule: ribosomal RNA, 384 nt
Filed under: uncultured eukaryote
Lineage: Eukaryota
Description: SSU rRNA
Rfam family: Eukaryotic small subunit ribosomal RNA
Source: RNAcentral